RNAcentral lists this ribosomal RNA (458 nucleotides) under uncultured bacterium. RNAcentral describes it as "partial 16S ribosomal RNA". It matches the Rfam family "Bacterial small subunit ribosomal RNA", at positions 29 to 507 of the family's 1533-position model. The record is from RNAcentral.
AACGAACGCUGGCGGCAUGCCUAACACAUGCAAGUCGAACGAGACCUUCGGGUCUAGUGGCGCACGGGUGCGUAACGCGUGGGAACCUGCCCUUAGGUUCGGAAUAACUCCCCGAAAGGGGUGCUAAUACCGGAUAAUGUCUUCGGACCAAAGAUUUAUCGCCUUUGGAUGGGCCAGCGUUGGAUUAGCUAGUUGGUAGGGUAAAAGCCUAACAAGGCGAUGAUCCAUAGCUGGUCUGAGAGGAUGAUCAGCCACACUGGGACUGAGACACGGCCCAGACUCUGAAGGGAGGCAGCAGGCGGGAAUAUUGCAGGAUGGACGAGAGCGUGAUAUAGACAACUGGGGUAUGUCAUGAACCCGCUCUGCCGCUUGAGUAAUUUAGGCCGGAGAGUAGAACAGCACGUGUAUCCCUGGCGGUAAUGACGGUACCCAGAGAAUAAGCACCGGCUAACUCCGUG